UUCGAUCGAAGAAAUUUUCACUCAAAUCUUUGCAAAAUAAAAUAAAUUUGAUUACAAUUAAUCGAGAAAAUAAUAAUAAUAAUUACCAAGAUAAUUCUUAUUGACGUGAAAGUUUCUUCGUCGCAAAAAUCGAGCUAAUAUUUUUUUUAUCGACACAAAACAUUCUUCUUUGAUUAAACACAUCGGGUGUCUUGACGGCGUCGAACGGAGAAAGGAAAAAAAAAAGAAAAAGCAAACACGACCAACUUUAAUAUCGAAGCCAAGUGACGCACGUUGAUGCGAGAGAGCUCUCUUCUCCUUUAAAAAAUAAUCCGUGUCUUGAAUUAGAAACUCGCUCAAUCGUUCUCUGACGGGUGACUGAGAAAACGCACACGCUUCCACAAGGAUUGAAAUUGCUUCUCUACGAACUACGUGUAUAGAAUCGAUAAUAUCACUUGUAAAUAUAAAUGAUGGAAAAUAUUCUUUUGAACAAUGCUUUGAUUAUUGAGAAGUUAAUCAUUUGAUAAAUUUGAUGGAACAAAUACAAUGGUACAAUACAGUACAAAAUAAGUAAAUACAUUUUUCACUUUCACUGUUUGCUUCUUCUUACGAUAUGAAAUUUAUCCUUUGUCUGAUAUAAACUAUUUUUGUGAACCAAAUAACCAUGUGUAUAUAACAAGGGUACGAAGGAGAAUCCCGAUAAAUUGCAAGAAAAGUUGGUAUAAUGUUGAUGAAAUAUGGCGGAGGGUGGCGAGUUGGUUUUAAGUUUACGACGCACAGAGCAUCUCUCUGUUUUAAAGAUAAUAUCCAACAAGAGUAACAAAGGUCUUGGUCCCUUACUAGAGAAGGGUCGCAAAAUCCAAACAUUGUGACCUUGCAUGCUCAACUACACGAAUAACAGAUUAAAAAAUUAAUGAAAAUUAGAAAAAUAGAAUUAAUAAAUUAAUAAAAAUAUAUAUGCAUCGAUUGAAAUGUUAUGAAUGUCGAAUGUAUCGUGUUUUAAUGAAGAAUAUAUUGGAUUUUUGAAGAGAGUGAAAAUAAAUUUUAAUUUUUUAUAAUUUUUUUUUUUUUUUUUUUUUUUUUUUGUAUACACUUCUUUGACCAAUUGAGUAUAGAAUAAUUUAUCAAUGGGCCACUGGAUGAUACUUUCCUUUGUCCCAUGUGACCCAUAAGAUAUUUUAACACAGAUGACUGAAAAGUUUUAAGACAAGAUUUCUAUUUAACAGAUUAUAAAUCUAAAUAGUAUUCAUA
Long non-coding RNA from Apis dorsata (giant honeybee), 1230 nucleotides. RefSeq lists it as uncharacterized. Lineage: Eukaryota; Metazoa; Arthropoda; Insecta; Hymenoptera; Apidae. The transcript has 3 exons. The record is from RefSeq and is a predicted model, not a curated record.